This 599-nucleotide ribosomal RNA is filed under the name Sphingomonas sp. Its description in RNAcentral is "bacterial SSU rRNA". It matches the Rfam family "Bacterial small subunit ribosomal RNA", at positions 86 to 719 of the family's 1533-position model. Lineage: Bacteria; Pseudomonadati; Pseudomonadota; Alphaproteobacteria; Sphingomonadales; Sphingomonadaceae. The record is from RNAcentral.
CGGAUCAUAGUGGCGCACGGGUGCGUAACGCGUGGGAAUCUGCCCUUGGGUUCGGAAUAACAGUUGGAAACGACUGCUAAUACCGGAUGAUGUCGAUAAGACCAAAGAUUUAUCGCCCGAGGAUGAGCCCGCGUCGGAUUAGCUAGUUGGUGGGGUAAAGGCCUACCAAGGCGACGAUCCGUAGCUGGUCUGAGAGGAUGAUCAGCCACACUGGGACUGAGACACGGCCCAGACUCCUACGGGAGGCAGCAGUGGGGAAUAUUGGACAAUGGGCGCAAGCCUGAUCCAGCAAUGCCGCGUGAGUGAUGAAGGCCUUAGGGUUGUAAAGCUCUUUUACCCGGGAAGAUAAUGACUGUACCGGGAGAAUAAGCCCCGGCUAACUCCGUGCCAGCAGCCGCGGUAAUACGGAGGGGGCUAGCGUUGUUCGGAAUUACUGGGCGUAAAGCGCACGUAGGCGGCUUUGUAAGUCAGGGGUGAAAGCCUGGAGCUCAACUCCAGAACUGCCUUUGAGACUGCAUCGCUUGAAUCCGGGAGAGGUGAGUGGAAUUCCGAGUGUAGAGGUGAAAUUCGUAGAUAUUCGGAAGAACACCAGUGGCGAA